This 558-nucleotide ribosomal RNA is filed under the name Halomonas caseinilytica. RNAcentral describes it as "bacterial SSU rRNA". It matches the Rfam family "Bacterial small subunit ribosomal RNA", at positions 70 to 620 of the family's 1533-position model. The record is from RNAcentral. Lineage: Bacteria; Pseudomonadati; Pseudomonadota; Gammaproteobacteria; Oceanospirillales; Halomonadaceae.
AACGAUCCUAGCUUGCUAGGAGGCGUCGAGCGGCGGACGGGUGAGUAAUGCAUAGGAAUCUGCCCGGUAGUGGGGGAUAACCUGAGGAAACUCAGGCUAAUACCGCAUACGUCCUACGGGAGAAAGCAGGGGCUCUUCGGACCUUGCGCUAUCGGAUGAGCUUAUGUCGGAUUAGCUGGUUGGUGAGGUAACGGCUCACCAAGGCGACGAUCCGUAGCUGGUCUGAGAGGAUGAUCAGCCACAUCGGGACUGAGACACGGCCCGAACUCCUACGGGAGGCAGCAGUGGGGAAUAUUGGACAAUGGGGGCAACCCUGAUCCAGCCAUGCCGCGUGUGUGAAGAAGGCCCUCGGGUUGUAAAGCACUUUCAGUGAGGAAGAAGGCUUGUCGGUUAAUACCCGGCAAGAAAGACAUCACUCACAGAAGAAGCACCGGCUAACUCCGUGCCAGCAGCCGCUGUAAUACGGAGGGUGCGAGCGUUAAUCGGAAUUACUGGGCGUAAAGCGUGCUUAGGCGGCUUGAUAAGCCGGUUGUGAAAGCCCCGGGUUCAACCUGGGUA